RNAcentral lists this transfer RNA (359 nucleotides) under uncultured Microcystis sp. RNAcentral describes it as "partial 16S-23S ribosomal RNA intergenic spacer". The stretch from base 135 to 208 matches the Rfam family "tRNA". Lineage: Bacteria; Bacillati; Cyanobacteriota; Cyanophyceae; Chroococcales; Microcystaceae. The record is from RNAcentral.
AAGGGAGACCUAAUUCAGGUAGGAGACGAAAAAAAAGUAGUCGCUACCAAGAAUCAAUCCCAAAAGGUCGGAGCGAGGCGAAAUUGGCUUUCAAACUAGGUUCUGGGUUCACACAAGACCUGAAUCAGGAACAAGGGCUAUUAGCUCAGGUGGUUAGAGCGCACCCCUGAUAAGGGUGAGGUCCCUGGUUCGAGUCCAGGAUGGCCCACCUGUACAGGUGGCAAAAAGAAGAGAAACGAGGAAUCAGCACCUUAUCUUACUUACAUAGUAAGAGAGAAUGCUGGCUCUGAGUAAAGAGUCCAGAGGAACCUUGAAAACUGCAUAGAGCUAGGUGAGAAAGCCAAAAAAGAAGACCGCAA